GACGAACGCUGGCGGCGUGCUUAACACAUGCAAGUCGAACGGAAAGGCCCUGCUUGCAGGGUACUCGAGUGGCGAACGGGUGAGUAACACGUGGGUGAUCUGCCCUGCACUUCGGGAUAAGCCUGGGAAACUGGGUCUAAUACCGGAUAGGAGCCAUUUUUAGUGUGAUGGUUGGAAAGUUUUUUCGGUGUAGGAUGAGCUCGCGGCCUAUCAGCUUGUUGGUGGGGUAAUGGCCUACCAAGGCGGCGACGGGUAGCCGGCCUGAGAGGGUGGACGGCCACAGUGGGACUGAGAUACGGCCCAGACUCCUACGGGAGGCAGCAGUGGGGAAGAUUGCACAAUGGGCGCAAGCCUGAUGCAGCGACGCCGCGGGGGGGAUGACGGACUUCGGGUUGUAAACGCCUUUCGCUAGGGACGAAGCUUUUUGUGACGGUACCUAGAUAAGAAGCACCGGCUAACUACGUG
Molecule: ribosomal RNA, 465 nt
Filed under: uncultured bacterium
Lineage: Bacteria
Description: partial 16S ribosomal RNA
Rfam family: Bacterial small subunit ribosomal RNA
Source: RNAcentral